RNAcentral lists this microRNA precursor (84 nucleotides) under Bombyx mori (domestic silkworm). RNAcentral's name for it is "mir-2807 microRNA precursor family". It matches the Rfam family "mir-2807 microRNA precursor family". Lineage: Eukaryota; Metazoa; Arthropoda; Insecta; Lepidoptera; Bombycidae. The record is from Rfam by way of RNAcentral.
UUAACUCAAGUUUGUAUGGAGUUAAAACGUUUGUCUACGUUUGCCGCUAGGGGCGCUGUUCCAACUGCAUACAAAUUUGAGUUA